UACGGAGGAUCCAAGCGUUAUCCGGAUUCAUUGGGUUUAAAGGGUGCGUAGGCGGACUAGUAAGUCAGUGGUGAAAUCCUGUCGCUUAACGACAGAACUGCCAUUGAUACUGCUAAUCUUGAGUACAUUUGAAGUGGGCGGAAUGUGUAGUGUAGUGGUGAAAUACUUAGAUAUUACACAGAACACCGAUUGCGAAGGCAGCUCACUAAACUGUAACUGACGCUGAGGCACGAAAGCGUGGGGAUCAAACAGG
Molecule: ribosomal RNA, 253 nt
Filed under: uncultured bacterium
Lineage: Bacteria
Description: partial 16S ribosomal RNA
Rfam family: Bacterial small subunit ribosomal RNA
Source: RNAcentral